UGCAUUCACUACUGUACGUCGCUCUGGAUAAGAGUGUCUUGCUAAAUGACAAAAA
This is a non-coding RNA of Salmo salar (Atlantic salmon), 55 nucleotides long. The record is from Rfam. Lineage: Eukaryota; Metazoa; Chordata; Actinopteri; Salmoniformes; Salmonidae.